This is a long non-coding RNA of Bombyx mori (domestic silkworm), 692 nucleotides long. RefSeq lists it as uncharacterized. NCBI's taxonomy places the organism in Eukaryota, Metazoa, Arthropoda, Insecta, Lepidoptera, Bombycidae. The transcript is spliced from 2 exons. The record is from RefSeq and is a predicted model, not a curated record.
CAAUUUAGCUAUUACUAAUAUCCACAGACAACUGUAAUCACCGGUGAGUGAAAACAAAAAUGACAUGGAAGUUGGAUCCUUUUUAAAAAGCGCCUUAAUAACAUACCGGUUCGCGGUAUGGCAAUCGGGAUUUUGCGAAUAUCGUUGAUGCCAGUACCGUUUUUAUUUAUUACUCGUCGAUUAUUGUAAUUUAAACACAUUUACAUGAAAAAUUAAAUGGAAAAUAAUGAAUUGAAUAUGAUUUAUCUGAAAUUAUAUUCAAUAAGGAACGAAUUGAAUGAAAUAAAAUGGUUUAAAACCAAAUAAAUUGAAAUGUUUCAGUAAGAAUUGUGGGAAUUUAUACUUUAGUGGAUAUUUUGAAUGAGUCCAAGAAACGCGGUCCAGCGACUUUAUAUUGUUUUCCUACACUAUUGACCGACCGUUAUGGCACGUUGAAGCCUGAAGAAACAGGAAAACAACAAAAAAAAACACUUCACACGACUUCGGUUCUAGUAUUCCCGCCAAAAUGUCCGCGCGAAAACAAUCACCUAGAACUACAUUUACGACUUAAUCCCUGGUUUAUUAAUAUCGUGGUCACGGAAGGCUAUCGGACGGAGUAGUCUGUGACCCCGAAUACGUAAAGUAUUGAAAACAUCUGGAAAUUGUAAAAUGAAAAUUUGGCGAAUACCGAAAUAAAUCCUAAUUGUGAUUAA